UUCUUCCUACGGGAGGCAGCAGUGAGGAAUAUUGGUCAAUGGACGCAAGUCUGAACCAGCCACGUAGCGUGCAGGAUGACGGCCCUCCGGGUUGUAAACUGCUUUUAGUUGGGAAUAAAAGGGGGCUCGUGAGCCCCGUAUUGUAUGUACCAUCAGAAAAAGGACCGGCUAAUUCCGUGCCAGCAGCCGCGGUAAUACGGCAGGUCCGGGCGUUAUCCGGAGUUAUUGGGUUUAAAGGGAGCGUAGGCCGGCUUUUAAGUCAGCUGUGAAAGUCCGC
Molecule: ribosomal RNA, 277 nt
Filed under: uncultured bacterium
Lineage: Bacteria
Description: partial 16S ribosomal RNA
Rfam family: Bacterial small subunit ribosomal RNA
Source: RNAcentral